RNAcentral lists this ribosomal RNA (400 nucleotides) under Shewanella sp. BACT-*6. Its description in RNAcentral is "bacterial SSU rRNA". It matches the Rfam family "Bacterial small subunit ribosomal RNA", at positions 87 to 483 of the family's 1533-position model. The record is from RNAcentral. Lineage: Bacteria; Pseudomonadati; Pseudomonadota; Gammaproteobacteria; Alteromonadales; Shewanellaceae.
GGUGACGAGCGGCGGACGGGUGAGUAAUGCCUAGGGAUCUGCCCAGUCGAGGGGGAUAACAGUUGGAAACGACUGCUAAUACCGCAUACGCCCUACGGGGGAAAGGAGGGGACCUUCGGGCCUUCCGCGAUUGGAUGAACCUAGGUGGGAUUAGCUAGUUGGUGAGGUAAUGGCUCACCAAGGCGACGAUCCCUAGCUGUUCUGAGAGGAUGAUCAGCCACACUGGGACUGAGACACGGCCCAGACUCCUACGGGAGGCAGCAGUGGGGAAUAUUGCACAAUGGGGGAAACCCUGAUGCAGCCAUGCCGCGUGUGUGAAGAAGGCCUUCGGGUUGUAAAGCACUUUCAGUAGGGAGGAAAGGUAAUAGUUUAAUAAACUAUUACUGUGACGUUACCUACA